GCAGCGACGCCGCGUGAGGGAUGAAGGCCUUCGGGUCGUAAACCUCUUUCAGCAGGGAAGAAGCGCAAGUGACGGUACCUGCAGAAGAAGCACCGGCUAACUACGUGCCAGCAGCCGCGGUAAUACGUAGGGUGCAAGCGUUGUCCGGAAUUAUUGGGCGUAAAGAGCUCGUAGGCGGUCUGUCGCGUCUGCUGUGAAAACCUAGGGCUUAACUCUGGGCGUGCAGUGGGUACGGGCAGGCUAGAGUGCGGUAGGGGAGACUGGAAUUCCUGGUGUAGCGGUGAAAUGCGCAGAUAUCAGGAGGAACACCGGUGGCGAAGGCGGGUCUCUGGGCCGUAACUGACGCUGAGGAGCGAAAGCAUGGGGAGCGAACAGGAUUAGAUACCCUGGUAGUCCAUGCCGUAAACGUUGGGCGCUAGGUGUGGGGCACAUUCCACGUGUUCUGCGCCGCAGCUAACGCAUUAAGCGCCCCGCCUGGGGAGUACGGCCGCAAGGCUAAAACUCAAAGGAAUUGACGGGGGCCCGCACAAGCGGCGGAGCAUGCGGAUUAAUUCGAUGCAACGCGAAGAACCUUACCAAGGCUUGACAUGGGAUGAAAACUCGUAGAGAUACGGGGUCCGCAAGG
This 625-nucleotide ribosomal RNA is filed under the name Kineosporia sp. Ri2Pw_6127. RNAcentral's name for it is "bacterial SSU rRNA". It matches the Rfam family "Bacterial small subunit ribosomal RNA", at positions 388 to 1022 of the family's 1533-position model. The record is from RNAcentral. Lineage: Bacteria; Bacillati; Actinomycetota; Actinomycetes; Kineosporiales; Kineosporiaceae.